Molecule: ribosomal RNA, 440 nt
Filed under: uncultured bacterium
Lineage: Bacteria
Description: partial 16S ribosomal RNA
Rfam family: Bacterial small subunit ribosomal RNA
Source: RNAcentral
CCUACGGGUGGCAGCAGUGGGGAAUAUUGCACAAUGGGGGGAACCCUGAUGCAGCAAUGCCGCGUGGGUGAAGAAGCACUCCGGUGCGUAAAGCCCUGUCAGCAGGGAAGAAACUGACAGUACCUGGACAAGAAGCCCCGGCUAACUACGUGCCAGCAGCCGCGGUAAUACGUAGGGAGCAAGCGUUAUCCGGAUUUACUGGGGGUAAAGGGAGCGCAGGCGGCGUGGCAAGUGAGAUGUGAAAACCCGGGGCCCAACCCCGGGAGUGCAUUUGGAACGGGCAUGCUGGAGUGCCGGAGAGGUAAGCGGAAUUCGUGGGGUAGCGGUGAAAUGCGUAGAUAUUAGGAGGAACACCAGGGGCGGAGGCAGCUUACUGGACGGUAACUGACGCUGAGGCUCGAAAGCGUGGGGAGCAAACAGGAUUAGAUACCCGAGUAGUC